Molecule: long non-coding RNA, 1476 nt
Filed under: Homo sapiens (human)
Lineage: Eukaryota; Metazoa; Chordata; Mammalia; Primates; Hominidae
Description: non-protein coding lnc-FAM189A2-4:1
Source: RNAcentral
CUUUCCUUCUCCUGGUCCUCUGGGAGGGUAGUAAGGAUGAAACUAAAUAGCUAAAGAGAAAAAGACAAGUGAUGCAUGGCUGGAACCAGGGGCAAACGGGACAGUUAGCUCCAGAAGAAUCAAAAGGUGUCUUCUCAUCUUGCAUUCACAUGCCUUAUGCCACAAACCACCAUCUGAGCCCAAUCACUGGCUGAAGACCUCAGAUUUAAAACCAAAAUAAUAAAUUUCUGACAAAGGCAAAACCGUCAUCCAAAAUGGCAGGUUACAACCAAAACUUCUGAGCCCCAGUCAAUGAUACCUUUAUUUUAGGCAGAACAGGAUAAUGCAAUUUCGCUUUGAAUUUUUGGAAGAAAGAAUGUGUGUAAAUCUUAGAAGCUCACUGUAACAGGCUUUGCAGGCUUUGACCUCUUGGAUGUGAAAUAUCCUGAUCAGCUCACACUUCAAAAUUUUUGCUGAAGCUCAGACAAUCACUGCUCCAAAGUGACCAAUCCCUGCUUUUUCUGUUAUAAACUUGCUAUAAUCCCUAAGAGAGAUAGUACAAAAAGUACAUGGAUAUUGCCAUAUCUUUAUACAUAAAUACUUCCCAAUUUUAUAAAUUCAAACAUAGGUCUACAGCUAAAAGUAAAUGAAGAAAGAGAAUUAGUGAUUAAAGUGAAUCUGUGAAACAGCUUCUUUGUUUGGCUCUAGUAGGCCAUAAGGCCAAAGUGUUUUGGGUAACUAGAAUAACCUUAUAAUUUAUCAUCCAAAUGAAAUACUCUUGAGAGUGAAAGCAGGCAUCAUUAACAAUUAUGCUGAGAGAGCAGACAUAAACCUGGACAGUGCCAGACAAAUGGGAAUAGACGGACGGUCACCCUAUGAACGAACAUCAUGCCCUCUCUAACAGAGAACGGCCUCUUCAGUCUGCCCCAGAUUCUAGAGUCUAGAGGAGAGAUCAGAUACUGCAAUAUUACACAGUAGAAAAUGCUAACUAUUACAAAAAGAGAAUCACUUAUGAUUGUUGUUUAAUAUUCCCCGGGUAAGCUCAAGUAAGCUUGAAUUCUAAAAGCUUUUUAAAAACAAAUCUGGAAACGCUGUACAAAGCAGUGUAUAGUGAGGACAAGUCUCAAAUCAGUAAGUGUGAGUAUAAUAGGUCAAAAGAAGUUGUUAGACAGCGUUUGUGGGGGGGUGUGCACAUGAGUGUGGGCACGCAUGCACACACUUGAGGGUAAGUGGAGAGGCACAUGAGUGUGGGCACGCAUAUGAGGGUAAGUGGAGAGGCACACGGGUGUGGGCACGCAUGCACACACAUGAGGGUAAGUGGAGAGGCACAUGAGUGUGGGCACACAUGCACACACAUGAGGGUAAGUGGAGAGGCACAUGAGUGUGGGCACACAUGCACACACUUGAGGGUAAGUGGAGAGGCACAUGAGUGUGGGCACACAUAUAUGAGAGUAAGUGGAGAGGCAAAUGAGUGCGGGCACACAUGCACACACAUGA